Molecule: long non-coding RNA, 442 nt
Organism: Anguilla rostrata (American eel)
Lineage: Eukaryota; Metazoa; Chordata; Actinopteri; Anguilliformes; Anguillidae
Exons: 3
Source: RefSeq, a predicted model, not a curated record
CUGGCUCCUGGGUGGCAUGUUCACCCUAAAGCAGAGAUCCCACAUUCUGGAGGGCUUCGGUGUCUGCAGGCUCAACCGGCAGGUAAUUUAGGAUUUUGAGAACAUGGAGUGGCGUGGACACUCCCCAGUUUACUGAAGAAAAUCUACCUCAUUCAGCCAGAGUGAUGGUCCGGCUCAACCUGUUCACUUCCUGGGAGGCCAACGCUUGAGAGGCCAUCAGAACUGAGAGACAGGAGUGAUGCAUCGUGGGUAAGAUGUUUGCUAAAGAGGUUGUCUUUCAUUAUUCAUGCGCCCACUCCCGUAAUGAAGACACAAAUUGUUCUCUUCCCUCUCCACCUCACCUGAUGUGUGGUGAGCGUUCUGGUGCAAAAUGGCUGCCGUGCAUCACCCAGAUGGGUAGCUGAGGUGAGUUUCCCCGUGAUCACUGUAAAGCACUUCGAGU